GCACUGCUGAGGAGUCCUAUAAUAGGACGAAACGGCCGUCCACUGU
RNAcentral lists this non-coding RNA (46 nucleotides) under Schistosoma mansoni. The record is from RNAcentral. Lineage: Eukaryota; Metazoa; Platyhelminthes; Trematoda; Strigeidida; Schistosomatidae.